AGGACGUCGAGCACUAACUAUGGAAUAAAUUCCGAGGGACGGCAAUGAGAAUUGCUCACACUCUCUCAUGUGGGUCAGAAGAUACGGAAACCACAGAGCUGACUCAAAGGAACAAGUACAGCCGUGGAGAGAUUCUUCAGUGAGAUCGGCCAACAAGCUGUGAAAGUGGAGAAUCAACCAGAAGCACUGUGGGAAAAUAAAAGUCAAAGGGGAAACUGAGUCAUCCCUGGUAACAAUUGCAAGGAUGUAAAGUAAAUAAUCACCACGUAGAAUAAGAAUAAAAGACUUAAUUGUAGUAGCAAU
This 303-nucleotide long non-coding RNA is filed under the name Rattus norvegicus (Norway rat). RNAcentral's name for it is "long non-coding RNA NONRATT014003". The record is from RNAcentral. Lineage: Eukaryota; Metazoa; Chordata; Mammalia; Rodentia; Muridae.